CUGGCUCAGGAUGAACGCUGGCGGCGUGCCUAACACAUUCAAGUCGAACGAACUGUAGAAAUACAGUGAGUGGCGGACGGGUGAGUAACGCGUAAGCAAUCCGCCUUUGUGUGUGGAAUAACAACCGGAAACAGUUGCUAAUACCGCAUAACGCAUAGGAGUCGCAUGGCUCUUAUGCCAAAGAUUUAUCGCACGAAGAUGAGCUUGCGUCCGAUUAGAUAGUUGGCGGGGUAACGGCCCACCAAGUCUACGAUCGGUAGCCGGACUGAGAGGUUGAACGGCCACAUUGGAACUGAGAUACGGUCCAGACUCCUACGGGAGGCAGCAGUGGGGAAUAUUGGGCAAUGGACGAAAGUCUGGAACCCCCAGCGACGCCGCGUGAGGGAAGAAGGUCUUCGGAUUGUAAACCUUAGUCAACAGGGACGAAGCAAGUGACGGUACCUGUGGAGGAAGCCACGGCUAACUACGUGCCAGCCGCUGC
This 481-nucleotide ribosomal RNA is filed under the name uncultured bacterium. RNAcentral describes it as "bacterial SSU rRNA". It matches the Rfam family "Bacterial small subunit ribosomal RNA", at positions 19 to 518 of the family's 1533-position model. The record is from RNAcentral.